Molecule: long non-coding RNA, 1042 nt
Filed under: Marmota monax (woodchuck)
Lineage: Eukaryota; Metazoa; Chordata; Mammalia; Rodentia; Sciuridae
Source: RNAcentral
GGUUUUAAUUACUACUUAAGAAUAUAUUCAUUAGUUUCAUAAAAGGCAUACCAUAUCUGGUGGCAUAUAGAAAACUUAAUUUCAGAUGAAGGAUGUUAUACUUAGAGGGAAAGGAGUGAGGGUAUGAGGUUAAACUAACUUAGCACCUUUGGAGAACUCUAACCAAUAGACUGGUAAUUUAUGGAAGAAUGUAUAGACUCAACCUCCUAUCUGUAUUUAGAUAGUUACCCUAUGUUUAGAUAGCAAAAGUUAGGAGAUUGAAAGUUGGAUAGAGAGAAUACGAAUGAAGAAAAAGAAAAAAAAAGGAAGAAAAGAGAAAUAAGAGAGAAGGAAAAGGAAAGUAAGAUAGAAAUAAAGAAGGGAUCCAACAUGGCGGCGAGUGGGGAGGCAGCGCUUUCAGUACGUCCGCAACAAUGGGGUCAGAGAGACGCAUGGAUACGCUUAGAUUCGACCUGCUGAGAAACUCCUAGCAAAAUUCCACUAAAGAGAGACCGGCUGGGAAUUGGUAGGAUUUUGGAGGUGACAGUUUGUGCUAGACGAAUGAAUCUCCGCCACGCAGCGCAGAGGUCCAGACCCGCCAGCCGCUGCCCGCGCGACUCGGCGACUGUCGGCUGCCUGCACACAGCCCCCGCGUCAGGGCAGAUAGCCUCCGAGGCGCAGCGCAGCAGGAGCGGUGCAGGGACUCCAGGAAGAGGUCUCUCGCCAAGCCUUCAUGAAAUAGCGAACCGGGAGCUGAAACCAACCAGAGACAGACCAGUCCCACCCCUCCCUUCGGACACUCCGGCAAGGAGCCUGGGGCCCGCCAUAGCAGAGAGGUGACAUCACCAGAGUUCCGCCGACAGAAUUCCUUCCCAGAGGAAUCCACGUUAGCAGGUGUGUGACUCCCACCCCCCCAGAUACAAGCAGCCAGGAAACCUCGGGAAUCUCUCCGGGGGCAUAUCUGUAGGGAAGCAGAGGGGAUUCCAGAUCCCCACCUCCCCUUAACACCAGCGGCGACACCCAAGAUCUUAGCCGCCAGUUUCUGGGGGCGUGCCCACCAAAG